UACGGAGGGGCUAGCGUUGUUCGGAAUUACUGGGCGUAAAGCGCACGUAGGCGGCUUUGCAAGUUAGAGGUGAAAGCCCGGGGCUCAACUCCGGAAUUGCCUUUAAAACUGCAUCGCUAGAAUUGUGGAGAGGUAAGUGGAAUUCCGAGUGUAGAGGUGAAAUUCGUAGAUAUUCGGAAGAACACCAGUGGCGAAGGCGACUCGCUGGACAAGUAUUGACGCUGAGGUGCGAAAGCGUGGGGAGCAAACAGG
Molecule: ribosomal RNA, 252 nt
Filed under: uncultured bacterium
Lineage: Bacteria
Description: partial 16S ribosomal RNA
Rfam family: Bacterial small subunit ribosomal RNA
Source: RNAcentral